Molecule: long non-coding RNA, 792 nt
Filed under: Mus musculus (house mouse)
Lineage: Eukaryota; Metazoa; Chordata; Mammalia; Rodentia; Muridae
Description: predicted gene 43132
Source: RNAcentral
GUCAGUUGCUGGCCAGACCUCCCAAAGAACUGCCACUCCAGGUUCCUGUCUGCAAGCACCUCUUGACCACAGGAGCAGUGUCUGGUUUGGCUACUGCAGACAGGAUGGAUCCCCAGUGUGGGAUCCUAUCUGAUAAAGUCAUUUCUCGCACAGUGAGAGGAGCAUUGGAUCAUCAGAGAUUCAUGUUCUGUAGUACCAGGAAGCAUUUGUGAACACCGAAAGACCAAUCAGGUGCCGAUCCGAUCCGAUACAAUCACACAAGAGUCUUUAUUCACAAGUUCAAACUCGGGCUUAAGUCAUGCUGACCCACAAGAUGGUUUCGGUGGAUAAAAGCCCCAAACACUCCUCAGGACAAGAUUUUAUAGGAAAUAUCAAGAGAAGGCAGCCAGAAUAUAGCACUUCAGAAACAAAGUACCAGAGAAACAAAUGGACAGCAAACAUCAAUUCUGAAAUACAUUGUCUCUGAUCUAUGCAGCUUGGAUAGUGAAUUUCUUUCCAUAAAUAGUUAAUAAGAUUAAAAUAUUUGGUGCACAAUUUAAAAAGAAAGGUCAUGGAGAGGAAUAUCCAGAGGAUGAUACUUUGCCCCAGGAAAAUGUACAGCUCAUUGCCUACGUUAAAUGACUAUGCAACUGCACAAGAACCUAAGAGAUGGUACUCACCACUCUAAUAUAAGGAGCACACAGCCAAGCUUUGUGUUUGUUUUUUUUUUUUCCACAAAUUGCUUGGUUUUUUUUUUUCCCUAAAAUGUUGAACAUCAGUUAGACAUUACCAGAAAAUAAAUUAUUACUCACC